RNAcentral lists this ribosomal RNA (462 nucleotides) under uncultured bacterium. Its description in RNAcentral is "partial 16S ribosomal RNA". It matches the Rfam family "Bacterial small subunit ribosomal RNA", at positions 28 to 507 of the family's 1533-position model. The record is from RNAcentral.
GACGAACGCUGGCGGCGUGCUUAACACAUGCAAGUCGAGCGACGCUCUUCCUUCGGGGAGAUGACGGAGCGGCGAGCGGGUGAGUAACACGUGGGCAACCUGCCCCUAGCUCUGGGACAACACCGGGAAACCGGUGCUAAUACCGGAUACGACAUCGAGCGGCAUCUCUCGAUGUGGAAAGUUUUUUCGGCUAGGGAUGGGCCCGCGGCCUAUCAGCUUGUUGGUGGGGUAAUGGCCCACCAAGGCGACGACGGGUAGCCGGCCUGAGAGGGCGACCGGCCACACUGGGACUGAGACACGGCCCAGACUCCUACGGGAGGCAGCAGUGGGGAAUAUUGCGCAAUGGGCGAAAGCCUGACGCAGCGACGCCGCGUGAGGGAUGACGGCCUUCGGGUUGUAAACCUCUUUCAGCAGGGACGAAUUCAGACGGUACCUGCAGAAGAAGCACCGGCCAACUACGUG